RNAcentral lists this ribosomal RNA (496 nucleotides) under uncultured bacterium. RNAcentral describes it as "partial 16S ribosomal RNA". It matches the Rfam family "Bacterial small subunit ribosomal RNA", at positions 28 to 507 of the family's 1533-position model. The record is from RNAcentral.
GACGAACGCUGGCGGCGUGCCUAAUACAUGCAAGUAGAACGCUGAAGAGAGGAGCUUGCUCUUCUUGGAUGAGUUGCGAACGGGUGAGUAACGCGUAGGUAACCUGCCUUGUAGCGGGGGAUAACUAUUGGAAACGAUAGCUAAUACCGCAUAACAAUGGAUGACACAUGUCAUUUAUUUGAAAGGGGCAAUUGCUCCACUACAAGAUGGACCUGCGUUGUAUUAGCUAGUAGGUGAGGUAAUGGCUCACCUAGGCGACGAUACAUAGCCGACCUGAGAGGUGGAUCGCCCACCCGGGAAUGGGAAACGGCCCAAACCCCCUCCGGAGGGAACCGUAGGGGAACUUCCGCAAAGGGGGCAACCCUGACCGAGCAACGCCGCGUGAGUGAAGAAGGUUUUCGGAUCGUAAAGCUCUGUUGUAAGUCAAGAACGGGUGUGAGAGUGGAAAGUUCACACUGUGACGGUAGCUUACCAGAAGGGGACGGCUAACUACGUG